This 1713-nucleotide long non-coding RNA is filed under the name Danio rerio (zebrafish). RNAcentral describes it as "lncRNA si:ch73-242k11.2 (ENSDARG00000097786.2)". Lineage: Eukaryota; Metazoa; Chordata; Actinopteri; Cypriniformes; Danionidae. The record is from RNAcentral.
GAGUGACAAACGAACGAGUACAGUGAACAGUGAUUUAAUGACUUUAGCGACUUGUUUUGCGUCUCAAAUGGAAAAUAAUAAGUCAACUUUGUUUUUUCAUCGAGUUAAAAAGAUCACGACUGACUUUGUCAACAAUAAUCAUCAGAGUGACACGAUGGCUUCUCCUACACCUUGUACCACGACGAGAAGCCCAACAGAAAACCCAGAGAAAAGGAGGAAAGGGAAAAAAGUCUCUGCUUUCUUUAAGAGAGUAUGGAAGGCUGCAAAGCGCCCUUUCCUUAGCUGUGACCAGAGCAGAGUGGUUCCCUUUGAACCACAGUCAGAUAAUGACUAUUUCGAGCACCUGCCUGUUCCAGGUCCCUCCAGGACCGUCGCAGCACAUGCAGACCCUGAGCCGGUGUUGCUGCCAGGCCAGGUCUGUGAAGAACCUCAGCCGUUGAGUGUUCCUGGCCCCACCAGGAUCAAGCAAACAGCAGAUGUGCCGAAUGCAGAUCGGGCCCGUCCUGAGUCCUCAACGGCCCUCACAGGUUAUGUUGACACUGAGCAGAUGCGUCCGCCAGUCCAGGUCUGUGAAGAUCCUCAGCCCUUGAGUGUUCCGGGCCCCUCCAAUAUUAAGAAAAUGACGGAUGCAGAUUCGGUCAGUCCUGAGUCGCCUCCGUCUGUUCAAGACCCCUCUAAAAUUGAUGGGACUGAUGAAAACCCCAAGAAAGGAAGGAAAGGGAAAAGAGUCUCUGCUUUCUUUAAGAGAGCAUGGAAGGCUGCAAAGCUCCCUUUCCUGCAUUUUACGCCACAGCCUGAGCCAGAGUCAGAGCCAGACCUUGAGUCAGUAUGUCUGCCAGGCCAGGGUCCUGAGGAGGCUUCUGGGCUCACUCGUGGACUCGAUCUGACUCAGUUUGAAGUCGGAGACCUGAUUGGAGAAGGAGCUUUUGGCCAGGUGUAUGUGGCAUCUCACAAACGCAGUAAAAGAGUAAAGGUUGCCCUGAAGUGCAUGGUGAAGAGUCAACAGGACCGUUAUCUGGAAGUUGAUGGUCAUUCCACACCUGUGCUUGCAGAAGUGGCAAUGAUGCUUAGGUUGAUGAAAGCUCCGCGAUGUCCAAACAUCAUCAGAUUACACAACUGGCUUGAGAUUGAGGACAACUGUGUUCUCAUUCUGGAGUACGCAGAGUCAUGCCAGACCUUGCUUCAGUACAUCAAAGACACAGCGGACAUUGAGGAAAACCAAGCACGCCAGUUAAUGCGUCAGUUGAUCCGAGCUAUAAUGUUCUGCACUGAGCGUGGAGUUUUCCAUGGGGAUAUACACACAGCGAACAUCCUGGUGACUCUACCCUGACUAGAGCUCAAAUUGAUCGACUUUGGAUGUGCUCAGCCAAUUACCCAAAAGCCUUUCAAUAAAAGUGACUAUCGAGGAGCUGGACAUGGCAUGCCACCUGAGGCUUUGAGGUGUCGUGUAUUCCAUGCUAACCCGGCAUACGUCUGGACAAUAGGCAUUAUGCUAUAUGAAAUAAUGCAUGGACGACUGGCCUUCAAUAACAGACAGUCAAUAAUGUUUGGCGCAAUUCAGAUACACCCCAGGUUAUCCACAGCAUGCGUGGACCUGAUUUCCCAAUGUUUGAUCCGUAAUCCAGCUAAACGGCUACAGUUACACCAGGUAGAAGAGCACUGCUGGUUCAAUCCAACGACCCCAAAUCCUGUGAAGCAGUUAUACAAGAGGAG